This is a regulatory RNA element of Clostridium sp. 7_2_43FAA, 109 nucleotides long. It matches the Rfam family "SAM riboswitch aptamer (S box leader)". Rfam says of the family: The SAM riboswitch is found upstream of a number of genes which code for proteins involved in methionine or cysteine biosynthesis in Gram-positive bacteria. The SAM riboswitch acts at the level of transcription termination control. NCBI's taxonomy places the organism in Bacteria, Bacillati, Bacillota, Clostridia, Eubacteriales, Clostridiaceae. The record is from Rfam.
UUCUUAUCCAGAGAGGUGGAGGGAGAAGGGCCCGAUGAAACCCGGCAACCUACUUUAUUAAGUUUAAGUGUGGUGCCAAUUCCUGCAAAGUAAUUUUGCAAGAUAAGAA